This 433-nucleotide ribosomal RNA is filed under the name uncultured bacterium. Its description in RNAcentral is "partial 16S ribosomal RNA". It matches the Rfam family "Bacterial small subunit ribosomal RNA", at positions 29 to 507 of the family's 1533-position model. The record is from RNAcentral.
AACGAACGCUGGCGGCAGGCCUAACACAUGCAAGUCGAGCGAGGACUUCGGUCCUAGCGGCGGACGGGUGAGUAACGCGUGGGAACGUGCCCUUUGCUUCGGAAUAGCCCUGGGAAACUGGGAGUAAUACCGGAUGAGCCCUUUGGGAGAAAGAUUUAUCGGCGAAGGAUCGGCCCGCGUUGGAUUAGGUAGUUGGUGGGGUAAUGGCCUACCAAGCCGACGAUCCAUAGCUGGUUUGAGAGGAUGAUCAGCCACACUGGGACUGAGACACGGCCCAGACUCCUACGGGAGGCAGCAGUGGGGAAUCUUAGACAAUGGGGGAAACCCUGAUCUAGCCAUGCCGCGUGAGCGAUGAAGGCCUUAGGGUUGUAAAGCUCUUUCAGCUGGGAAGAUAAUGACGGUACCAGCAGAAGAAGCCCCGGCUAACUCCGUG